Molecule: non-coding RNA, 772 nt
Filed under: Aulacochilus grouvellei
Lineage: Eukaryota; Metazoa; Arthropoda; Insecta; Coleoptera; Erotylidae
Source: RNAcentral
UAGAUAUAUAUUCUAUUAUAUAUAUAUAUAUAUAUUUUUUGAUUUUUAUGUGAGUUUUUUUAUGAGUAAAAUUUAAUAAGCGUUCUUAAAAGCAGAAAUUAACAUUAAAUCUGAAGUUACCUUUGAUUUAGGAAUAAAGUCGAGUAUUAACAAUAUUUGUGCCAGCAGUUGCGGUUACACAAAUAAUACAAUUUAAUUUUAUUGGUUUUCAAUUUAUUAGAAUUUUUGGUUUAAAUUUAUAUUCAAAUUUAUUAAGUGAAAUUUUAAAUUAUAUUAAGUUUAUUUAUUUAGAUGAGGUUGAGAAGAUUAAGAAUAAACUAGGAUUAGAUACCCUAUUAUUAUAAAGAUAAAAAAAUAACAUCAAGUGAUUAAUAGCUAUGAUCUUUAAAAUUAAAAAAUUUGGCGGUUUUUUAAUCUAUUCAGAGGAACCUGUCCUGUAAUUGAUAGUCCACGAUUAAUAAAUACUUAUUUUAAUAAGCUUGUAUAUCGUCGUAUUUUGAGUAUUUUAUUAGAAUAAUAAUAUUCAAUAAAUUAAAUAAAAAAUAAAAUCAGAUCAAGAUGCAGUCUAUAAAUAAGGAGAGAUGGGUUACAAUAAAGAAAUUUUUGAAUUAAUUAGUGAAAAAUAGUCAUAAAAAUGGAUUUGAAAGUAAUUUUAAUUAUUAAAUUAAGAUGAUUUUAGCUCUAAAAAAUGCACAUAUCGCCCGUCACUUUCGUUUUAAAACGAAAUAAGUCGUAACAAAGUAGGUGUACUGGAAAGUGUACCUAGGGGCAA